This 255-nucleotide ribosomal RNA is filed under the name uncultured bacterium. Its description in RNAcentral is "partial 16S ribosomal RNA". It matches the Rfam family "Bacterial small subunit ribosomal RNA", at positions 524 to 776 of the family's 1533-position model. The record is from RNAcentral.
CACGUAGGGGGCGAGCGUUGUCCGGAUUUAUUGGGCGUAAAGAGCUCGUAGGCGGCUUUGUCAGUCGGGUGUGAAACCUCCAGGCUCAACCUGGAGCCGCCACCCGAUACUGCAAUAGCUAGAGUCCGGUAGGGGAGCAUGGAACUCCUGGUGUAGCGGUGAAAUGCGCAGAUAUCAGGAAGAACACCAGUGGCGAAGGCGGUGCUCUGGGCCGGAACUGACGCUGAGGAGCGAAAGCGUGGGGGAGCGAACAGG